Molecule: ribosomal RNA, 480 nt
Filed under: uncultured bacterium
Lineage: Bacteria
Description: partial 16S ribosomal RNA
Rfam family: Bacterial small subunit ribosomal RNA
Source: RNAcentral
GACGAACGCUGGCGGCGUGCCUAACACAUGCAAGUCGAGCGAGUGAAUCUCCUUCGGGAGUGAAGCUGGCGGCGGACGGCUGAGUAACACGUAGGCAACCUGCGUCAUAGCGGGGGAUAGCCUUUCGUAAGGAAGAUUAAUACCGCAUAAGACUGUAUCAUCGCAUGAACUAGCCAUUAAAGAAGCAAUCCUAUAUGAGAUGGGCGCGCGUCGCAUUAGCUAGUUGGUGAGGUAACGGCUCACCAAGGCGACGAAGCGUAGCCGACCUGAGAGGGUGAUCGGAGACAUUGGGACUGAGAAACGGCCCAGACUCCUACGGGAGGCAGCAGUGGGGAAUAUUGCACAAUGGGGGAAACCAUGAUGCAGCAACGCCGCGUGAGUGAUGACGGCCUUCGGGUUGUAAAGCUCUGUCUUCAGGGACGAUAAUGACGGUACCUGAGGAGGAAGCCACGGCUAACUACGUGCCAGCAGCCGCCGUAA